Molecule: ribosomal RNA, 465 nt
Filed under: uncultured bacterium
Lineage: Bacteria
Description: partial 16S ribosomal RNA
Rfam family: Bacterial small subunit ribosomal RNA
Source: RNAcentral
GAUGAACGCUGGCGGCGUGCUUAACACAUGCAAGUCGAACGGAAAGGCUCCUGCUUGCAGGGGUACUCGAGUGGCGAACGGGUGAGUAACACGUGGGUGAUCUGCCCUGCACUUCGGGAUAAGCCUGGGAAACUGGGUCUAAUACCGGAUAGGACCACCUUUUGGAUGGUGUGGUGGAAAGUUUUUCGGUGUGGGAUGAGCUCGCGGCCUAUCAGCUUGUUGGUGGGGUAAUGGCCUACCAAGGCGUCGACGGGUAGCCGGCCUGAGAGGGUGUACGGCCACAUUGGGACUGAGAUACGGCCCAGACUCCUACGGGAGGCAGCAGUGGGGAAUAUUGCACAAUGGGCGCAAGCCUGAUGCAGCGACGCCGCGUGGGGGAUGACGGCCUUCGGGUUGUAAACUCCUUUUGCUAGGGACGAAGCGCAAGUGACGGUAGCUGGAGAAGAAGCACCGGCUAACUACGUG